UGGGGAAUAUUGCACAAUGGGCGCAAGCCUGAUGCAGCCAUGCCGCGUGUAUGAAGAAGGCCUUCGGGUUGUAAAGUACUUUCAGCGGGGAGGAAGGGAGAAAAGUUAAUACCUUUGCUCAUUGACGUUACCCGCAGAAGAAGCACCGGCUAACUCCGUGCCAGCAGCCGCGGUAAUACGGAGGGUGCAAGCGUUAAUCGGAAUUACUGGGCGUAAAGCGCACGCAGGCGGUUUGUUAAGUCAGAUGUGAAAUCCUCGGGCUCAACCUGGGAACUGCAUCUGAUACUGGCAAGCUUGAGUCUCGUAGAGGGGGGUAGAAUUCCAGGUGUAGCGGUGAAAUGCGUAGAGAUCUGGAGGAAUACCGGUGGCGAAGGCGGCCCCCUGGACGAAGACUGACGCUCAGGUGCGAAAGCGUGGGGAGCAAACAGG
This 429-nucleotide ribosomal RNA is filed under the name Chloroflexota bacterium. RNAcentral describes it as "Chloroflexi bacterium partial 16S ribosomal RNA". It matches the Rfam family "Bacterial small subunit ribosomal RNA", at positions 355 to 776 of the family's 1533-position model. The record is from RNAcentral. Lineage: Bacteria; Bacillati; Chloroflexota.